RNAcentral lists this ribosomal RNA (776 nucleotides) under uncultured Neocallimastigales. RNAcentral's name for it is "partial large subunit ribosomal RNA". It matches the Rfam family "Eukaryotic large subunit ribosomal RNA", at positions 24 to 635 of the family's 3401-position model. The record is from RNAcentral. Lineage: Eukaryota; Fungi; Neocallimastigomycota; Neocallimastigomycetes; Neocallimastigales.
UAUGUGAUCGUCUCUCGCAUAUCAAUAAGCGGAGGAAAAGAAACUAACAAGGAUUCCCCUAGUAACGGCGAGCUGAAGCGGGAAGAGCUCAAAUUUGAAAUCUUAAAGGGUUUCCCUUUACGAAUUGUAGUUUAAAGAAGUGUUUUCUGUUGAGGUUUUGGUAAAAGUUCUUUGGAAUAGGACAUCAUAGAGGGUGAGAAUCCCAGUAUUUGACCUUUACUUUCAACUUUGUGAUACACUUUCAAAGAGUCGGAUUGUUUGGGAAUGCAGUCCAAAAUGGGUGGUAAAUUUCAUCUAAAGCUAAAUAUUGGCGAGAGACCGAUAGCGAACAAGUACCGUGAGGGAAAGAUGAAAAGAACUUUGAAAAGAGAGUUAAACAGUACGUGAAAUUGUCUAAAGGGAAGCGUUUGACACCAGUGUUGUUUUUCUGAAAAUCAAUUAAAGAACUGUUUAUGCUAAGCUGUUUAGACUUUAUCAGCUAUCUGUUUAGUUUUGAGCUUUUCUUUAAUGCACUUUUCAGUUAACAAGUCAACAUCAAUUUCUUUUGCUGUAAAAAAGCUUGAGGAAGGUGGCUUGAGAUUCGUCUUAAGUGUUUAUAGCCUCUUGCCUAUGCAGUCGGAGAGAUUGAGGUCUGCAGCGUAGAUCCUUCGGGGCUAAAUGCAUUUGUGCUAAGUUAUAGCAUUUUAUAGUCAACUUGUUGACUAUGAUUUGUCUUGUAGCUUACCCGCUUAUGUUAUUUUACCUACGCUUAGGAUGUUGAUCUACAGAGCGAGAGU